Long non-coding RNA from Gasterosteus aculeatus aculeatus (three-spined stickleback), 717 nucleotides. The record is from Ensembl. Lineage: Eukaryota; Metazoa; Chordata; Actinopteri; Perciformes; Gasterosteidae.
AAGGAGGACUAAACCCAACGUGCAGUAGUUUGUCAAGCAUCUAGUAUCUAGUAGAAACUGAAAACCGGGUUUGUUUUUAAUACGGCCGCGAAAUAUUCUUCUGUGUCUAAUUGAGGUCUGAGAGCCCCGAGGAGCAGCAGAGCACUGGAGUCUUGGGCCGAAUCGGGAGCUGGCUCUCUCCAUGGAGGGGAAAGGCUCCAACUAGUCCCACUGAAAAUGCCUCUGCGAGUAGCGGUCAGGCUCUUAAGUCAGAGGAGGAAAAGGAGAGUGAGGAAUCUGUGAGACUCUGUGGGACAGGGACACGAGAGUCGGAGCAGGAGGAGGAGGGCCGACUAUCCAAUCGCAAUCCACUCCGUCCCUCCGGAGACAUUUUCCCUUGUGAAGAGGUGGACGCCACUCGGUCUGCCCACAGAGACGGCUCUGUUGCGAGCAGCGCUGAGAAAGCGGAUCCAAAGAAGGAGGAGCUGGUGGAGUGCAGGACAAAGAGAGUCGUGCAAGGCAAGCAGAGGGAGGAGAGCGGCACCGGCACAUUAGCCGGCGGGACAGACGCCCGUCAGGUGACACAUCAGUCCUCCUCCGCAGAGCAGGGCGUGGCGAGGGCGUCUGACCUUGCCCCCGGCCGGCCUCACGCACAGAGACAAGCGCAGGCGGGCCGGAGGCUCCAUGUGUACCUGGAGGAGACCAGCGUCACCCACUGCGACCAGAACACCUGCGCUG